This 253-nucleotide ribosomal RNA is filed under the name uncultured bacterium. RNAcentral's name for it is "partial 16S ribosomal RNA". It matches the Rfam family "Bacterial small subunit ribosomal RNA", at positions 524 to 776 of the family's 1533-position model. The record is from RNAcentral.
UACGAAGGGUGCAAACGUUAUUCGGAAUCACUGGGCGUAAAGGGUGCGUAGACGGCUUAUUAAGUUCGUUGUUAAAGGCUCCGGCCCAACCGGAGUAUUGCAAUGAAAACUGGUAAACUAGAGGGUGAGAGAGAGAAGUGGAAUUCCCGGAGUAGCGGUAAAAUGCGUGGAUCUCGGGAGGAACACCAAUGGCGAAGGCAGCUUCUUGGCUCAUACCUGACGUUGAGGCACGAAAGCGUGGGGAGCAAACAGG